Penaeus vannamei (Pacific white shrimp) is the source of this 760-nucleotide non-coding RNA. The record is from RefSeq and is a predicted model, not a curated record. Lineage: Eukaryota; Metazoa; Arthropoda; Malacostraca; Decapoda; Penaeidae.
GCUUUGAUCGCUGGUGCCUGGUUUUGUCACUGCCAGCGGUGACCAAGGCGGCUCCGCUACGUGGGAACUGCCCUCGGGAGUAACGGUCAACCCUAACAGCUGCUGGCAAGAUGGCUCUGGUCCUUGUCCCAACGGCAACUGCCUGGACAAGGGAACUCAGGGCACUGUCAUCAAGGAGACCACGGUGUCGUGUAAGUGGUAUUGCCUCUGGAGGAGCCACUGCAAGACACAGAUCUGCUGCAACUAAUAUCUCUGUUGCUUUCUGUGCGCUCUUUUCUGCGUUCUCAUCUUUUGUAAUGAUUCAGUCAUACUAAGCACACGAACACACACACGCAUACGAAUACACACACACAAACAUACCAACAGCUUCCCAUAAUACAUUUCAGGUUAAGGGUCUUAUAUUUGACCCACGCUGACAUCUUUUUUUCGAUAGACAUAGAUGAACAGACAAGUUAACAGAUGGAAAUAGAUACAGAGAAAAAGCGUCAUUUCCUAUUUAUCAAGAAUCACUUGCAUGAUGAUGGUCUUUUUAUCUUUUAUAAAAUAGCACUUUCAUUAAAUUUCGUGCUUUUUGGAUUUCAAGAAUGAUAUUGUCUCUAACAUUCUAUGAGUUUGACAUAAUCAAACUUCCUAUGUAUUAUUUGUAUCUUGAUUUAAUAUUACUGCACAAUGUAACGCAAUUUUAAGUUUGGUCUUAUGCAUGUAUACAUGUGUGUCCGCGUGUGUAUACACAGAUGCAAUAUAAUGUUACCUUCUAGAA